GGACAAUCUGGAUGUUACAUGCCUCUCCAUUUAAUCACCAGAGUUGAUUCAGUUGAAUUGGCUGUCUAGACAGGUGUCUUCUCCCACCCUCCCACCUGUGUGUGCCUGGUGGAGAAGGUCAUGUUCCCAGUAGAGGAGGGCUGUUAUUUGGUCAAGCAUGAGUAGCUGCACUGCCUGCUUGGAGCUCCAAAUAUGGGCUAAGAUGAUUCUAUGCUUU
This 217-nucleotide small RNA is filed under the name Peromyscus maniculatus bairdii (prairie deer mouse). RNAcentral describes it as "7SK RNA (ENSPEMG00000002667.2)". It matches the Rfam family "7SK RNA", at positions 1 to 251 of the family's 331-position model. Rfam says of the family: 7SK was discovered as an abundant small nuclear RNA in the mid-70s but a possible function has only recently been suggested. Two independent studies have found that 7SK RNA binds the CDK9/cyclin T complex (known as elongation factor P-TEFb). The record is from RNAcentral. Lineage: Eukaryota; Metazoa; Chordata; Mammalia; Rodentia; Cricetidae.